Long non-coding RNA from Catharus ustulatus (Swainson's thrush), 826 nucleotides. RefSeq lists it as uncharacterized. The record is from RefSeq and is a predicted model, not a curated record. Lineage: Eukaryota; Metazoa; Chordata; Aves; Passeriformes; Turdidae. The transcript has 2 exons.
GUGGCAGGGGUUGCCGUGAUGUUGUCAUAGUAAUAGUCUUCUGUGGAAUAUGUGGAAUCGUAGUAAUUGCCUGGAAUGGAAACAGCUCCAGCCCCGGUUAUCCCAGCUCACUCCUGUGGCUUUUGGAAAAUAGUAAAAAUGCUUUAAAAAAGGCAUUUCUCACUUAAAUGAGCCAUGUAGUCGUAUAAAUCCUGUGCCAUCUCCUCCAAGUCAUCUUCGAGCUCCACUUUCCCUGCAAGCAAAGGAACAGCGCGUGGAUCAUCGCGGGAGCCGCGGGCCGGGCCGUGGGCGCGGGGUCAUGUGAAGUUCCACUGAUUUAUUGCUGCUCUGGGCCAAACCUGUUUCCUGUGGGACUGAUGGAUUCACAACCGACCCAUAAUCAGAUCCCAACUAAAGGUGUGGGAUCAAACCAGAGCCGGGGUUCUUCCUCCGCUUUUGGGUGUGGAUGAAGUGCGAGAUGCGCUGGUGGGGAUGGAGCCUCUGGCUGCGCUCCUGCGCGCCAGACCCAAAUCCCGGCUGGAUCUCCCCUGGGAUCCUCAUCCAGGAUCCAGCUGCUCCAGCGCCUCUGGCUGUGGAGCUGCCAAGGACUCAGAAGGGACCCUCGUGUUUCCUUAGGGCUGAGCCACUGUAAAUAAAUCCUGACCCUUGUGGCAUUGUCACAGCUGGAGCAAGCGGCUCAUUCCCUAUUCCAAACAUAAGGUUCUUGCAUUUUGGGAGGAUUUUUUAAAGCAAAUUAAUUGGAAACAUUAAUGUUCUGAUAGUCGCAGGUUCAUACAUUAAGAUACUAAUGAGAAUGGAAGAUAUGGAAUAAUAAGAUAUUUUUAUA